Molecule: ribosomal RNA, 303 nt
Filed under: uncultured bacterium
Lineage: Bacteria
Description: partial 16S ribosomal RNA
Rfam family: Bacterial small subunit ribosomal RNA
Source: RNAcentral
AGCAGUCGCCACGGUAAUACGAGGGGAGCUAGCGUUGUUCGGAAUUACUGGGCGUAAAGCGCGCGUAGGCGGCUUUUUAAGUCAGAGGUGAAAGCCCGGGGCUCAACCCCGGAAUUGCCUUUGAAACUGGAAAGCUAGAAUCUUGGAGAGGUCAGUGGAAUUCCGAGUGUAGAGGUGAAAUUCGUAGAUAUUCGGAAGAACACCAGUGGCGAAGGCGACUGACUGGACAAGUAUUGACGCUGAGGUGCGAAAGCGUGGGGAGCAAACAGGAUUAGAUACCCCAGUAGUCCCUGUCUCUUAUAA